RNAcentral lists this ribosomal RNA (253 nucleotides) under uncultured bacterium. RNAcentral's name for it is "partial 16S ribosomal RNA". It matches the Rfam family "Bacterial small subunit ribosomal RNA", at positions 524 to 776 of the family's 1533-position model. The record is from RNAcentral.
UACGGAGGGGGCUAGCGUUGUUCGGAAUUACUGGGCGUAAAGCGCACGUAGGCGGCUUUGUAAGUUAGAGGUGAAAGCCCGGAGCUCAACUCCGGAAUUGCCUUUAAGACUGCAUCGCUCGAAUCAUGGAGAGGUGAGUGGAAUUCCGAGUGUAGAGGUGAAAUUCGUAGAUAUUCGGAAGAACACCAGUGGCGAAGGCGACUCACUGGACAUGUAUUGACGCUGAGGUGCGAAAGCGUGGGGAGCGAACAGG